CGAGUUGGUCAGACAAUCGCUGGUUUAUUGAAGCCCUUAACCGUAGUAAUACGACCUAGCGGGACAAGUAAACGAGAGGAAAGUCCGAGCUACAUAGGGCAGAGUGCCAGAUAACGUCUGGGAGGCGUGAGCCUACGACAAGUGCAGCAGAGAGCAAACCGCCGAUGGCUCGCAAGAGAUCAGGUAAGGGUGAAAGGGUGCGGUAAGAGCGCACCGCAUGGCUGGUAACAGUACAUGGCAGGGUAAACUCCACUCGUAGCAAGACCAAAUAGGAACUCAAUGGGUGUGCCCGCCCAGAGUUCGGGUAGGUUGCUUGAGCGUAUGUGCGAAUAUACGCCUAGAGGAAUGAUUGUCCGCGACAGAACUCGGCUUAUCGACCAACUCAAUCU
This is a non-coding RNA of 389 nucleotides. It matches the Rfam family "Bacterial RNase P class A". From Rfam's summary of the family: Ribonuclease P (RNase P) is a ubiquitous endoribonuclease, found in archaea, bacteria and eukarya as well as chloroplasts and mitochondria. Its best characterised activity is the generation of mature 5'-ends of tRNAs by cleaving the 5'-leader elements of precursor-tRNAs. The record is from Rfam.